Molecule: ribosomal RNA, 261 nt
Filed under: uncultured bacterium
Lineage: Bacteria
Description: partial 16S ribosomal RNA
Rfam family: Bacterial small subunit ribosomal RNA
Source: RNAcentral
CCGCGGUAACACGUAGGAGGCGAGCGUUAUUCGGAUUUACUGGGCGUAAAGCGCGUGUAGGCGGCUGAUCAAGUUGGAUGUGAAAGCUCCCGGCUUAACUGGGAGAGGACGUUCAAAACUGAACAGCUUGAGUAUGAGAGAGGAAAAUGGAAUUCCGGGUGUAGUGGUGAAAUGCGUAGAUAUCCGGAGGAACACCAGUGGCGAAGGCGAUUUUCUGGCUCAAGACUGACGCUCAGACGCGAAAGCUAGGGUAGCAAACGG